UGGGGUGUAGCUCAGUGGCAGAGCGUUUGACUACAGAUCCCUUGGUUCAAAUCCAAGUACCCCCU
Pelodiscus sinensis (Chinese soft-shelled turtle) is the source of this 65-nucleotide transfer RNA. It matches the Rfam family "tRNA". From Rfam's summary of the family: Transfer RNA (tRNA) molecules are approximately 80 nucleotides in length. Their secondary structure includes four short double-helical elements and three loops (D, anti-codon, and T loops). NCBI's taxonomy places the organism in Eukaryota, Metazoa, Chordata, Testudines, Trionychidae. The record is from Rfam.